GUGCCAGCAGCCGCGGUAAGACGAACCGUGCGAACGUUAUUCGGAUUCACUGGGCUUAAAGGGCGCGUAGGCGGACGAGCAAGUCCGGGGUGAAAUCUUUCGGCUCAACCGGAAAAGUGCCUUGGAUACUGCUCGCCUUGAGGGAGGUAGGGGCAUGUGGAACUUCCGGUGGAGCGGUGAAAUGCGUUGAUAUCGGAAGGAACGCCGGUGGCGAAAGCGACGUGCUGGCCCUCUUCUGACGCUGAGGCGCGAAAGCCAGGGGAGCAAACGGGAUUAGAUACCCCGGUAGUCC
Molecule: ribosomal RNA, 292 nt
Filed under: uncultured bacterium
Lineage: Bacteria
Description: partial 16S ribosomal RNA
Rfam family: Bacterial small subunit ribosomal RNA
Source: RNAcentral